CUCCUCCGUCUCCAACCUUUUCUCCCUAUUCUGCUGUCCAUCGGUGAUUCUUCCUUAUUUUGGACACCAAAAAUCAGAUCAAAAUCCAUCAAAAAGUCAAGUAAAUCUCUUCAAUCCUCCUCUUUCAAUCUGCUAUGAAUUUUAAACUUGAUUUUUUAUCGAUUUAUUGUCAGAAAAAUUUUUGAAAUCCUAGUUCAGCAAGUUUCCCUAUUUUUUCAUUUUUUUAUCUUUUCGGCACCGUUAGGCCACCGUCGGUCAUCGGAGCUUGUGGUUGUCGUCGUUC
RNAcentral lists this long non-coding RNA (283 nucleotides) under Elaeis guineensis (African oil palm). Its description in RNAcentral is "long non-coding RNA (EGUI_LNC022671)". The record is from RNAcentral. Lineage: Eukaryota; Viridiplantae; Streptophyta; Magnoliopsida; Arecales; Arecaceae.